UACGAAGGGGGCUAGCGUUGUUCGGAUUUACUGGGCGUAAAGCGCACGUAGGCGGAUUGGUCAGUUAGGGGUGAAAUCCUGGAGCUCAACUCCAAAACUGCCUUUAAUACUGCCAGUCUCGAGUCCGGAAGAGGUAAGUGGAACUCCUAGUGUAGAGGUGGAAUUCGUAGAUAUUAGGAAGAACACCAGUGGCGAAGGCGGCUUACUGGUCCGGUACUGACGCUGAGGUGCGAAAGCGUGGGGAGCAAACAGG
This 253-nucleotide ribosomal RNA is filed under the name uncultured bacterium. RNAcentral describes it as "partial 16S ribosomal RNA". It matches the Rfam family "Bacterial small subunit ribosomal RNA", at positions 524 to 776 of the family's 1533-position model. The record is from RNAcentral.